UUUGUUGUGGGAGGCGUAUGGGUUAACCCUAGUUUUCUGUUCUGCGGAUUUGUGAUGUUGUGCCAAACACACCUAUCCGAUUUGCAUACAUUUGGAUUCGCGGUCCAAUGUGUGAUUUGCCUGUGUGGCAUUAUUUUGGUUGCCUGUGUGGCAUUAUUUUGACUUGCCUGUGUGGCAAUGUGUAUUUCUGAGCUCAUUCGGUAUAAAAUAACUCCAGCCAUUUAUUUUAGCCUAUUAUUUUAUUGGAUUAGUUUUGUUGAUUUCUGUUCAGUUCAAGUCAUUGAGUUAGUUACUUCAGUUCGUUAUUUCUUUAUUCUUUUAUUGGUUUCGUCAAUUACGUUAAUUCAGAUAUAUUCAUUACGUUGAUUCAAAUAUAUUCCAUUCAAAUCUUUGGAUAUCAUAUUUUCGUUCGUAUUUGCACUUAAGGUUUUGUUCAGUAUUUUGUCUCAGUUAUUUUCGUAUAUCAGUUGUAUAUCUUUUGUAUAUCUGUAUCCGUACUGGG
This 502-nucleotide long non-coding RNA is filed under the name Panax ginseng (ginseng). RNAcentral describes it as "long non-coding RNA (PGIN_LNC004220)". The record is from RNAcentral. Lineage: Eukaryota; Viridiplantae; Streptophyta; Magnoliopsida; Apiales; Araliaceae.